RNAcentral lists this ribosomal RNA (253 nucleotides) under uncultured bacterium. RNAcentral's name for it is "partial 16S ribosomal RNA". It matches the Rfam family "Bacterial small subunit ribosomal RNA", at positions 524 to 776 of the family's 1533-position model. The record is from RNAcentral.
UACAGAGGUCUCAAGCGUUGUUCGGAUUCAUUGGGAGUAAAGGGUGCGUAGGCGGCGCGGUAAGUCGGGUGUGAAAUCUUGGAGCUUAACUCCGAAACUGCAUUCGAUACUGCCGUGCUUGAGGACUGGAGAGGAGACUGGAAUUUACGGUGUAGCGGUGAAAUGCGUAGAUAUCGUAAGGAAGACCAGUGGCGAAGGCGGGUCUCUGGACAGUUCCUGACGCUGAGGCACGAAGGUCAGGGGAGCAAACGGG